Molecule: long non-coding RNA, 1778 nt
Organism: Corapipo altera (White-ruffed manakin)
Lineage: Eukaryota; Metazoa; Chordata; Aves; Passeriformes; Pipridae
Exons: 3
Source: RefSeq, a predicted model, not a curated record
CAGUGCCAUGUCCUGGGGAUGGAUCACAGGCUGCAGCCCUGCUCAGCAAGAGGGAAAGCAGCAAACCUGAGUGUCCCACUGUUCGUGCCUACGUCUCCAGUGCUGAGCAGAGCUGUAAUGCCAAGGAUGAAAACUCUGAUAACAUAAACAGUCGGUACAAAAAGGUGUCAUCUAUUUGACUACUGAAACAAUUUUCAAGUGCAGCCCUACAAGUCAAAGCCCUGUGUCAAAGAAUACUGUAAGAGAAGCCAACUCUGAGGAAUGGUAAUGAAGGGGGCACGUGCUGGCACACCAUAUGUGCUGUACAAACAAGACCCCUCUCAGCUGCUGCAUCUCUCAGCUCCCUUCAGCCUCUCACAAAUUAAGUCCAGCUGAUUGCCAACUGCAGCUGCAAUAGCAAGCAAGUUCUUUAUCAGGACUUCUCUAUUAGUAGCUACGGGCAACCAACCCUGGGGUUCUGCCUUCUCUCCUACCUGCAGAGCACAGCUGGGGCUGACAUGGGUUUUACCCUGAACGUGGGACAAUCAAAAGUCAUCGACUCUUUUCCUGAAGAGCUGUAAGUCUUCCUUCCACAGGAAAGCACCCUGGGUGCCUCAGCCUAGAGGGCUCAAUUGUCAAAGCCACUGUAACUUCACUACUGACCAGCAAAUUACUGGUGUGGAUGCAGGACAUGCAUGAACACACAUGAGAAAAAAAUGAGCCUCCAUGGUCAGGAAACUGGGACACCCACCUGAGGGUGGGGAAUCCUCCACUUUGGUCACCAAACGGAGCAUGGAAGGAAUCAUAUGAGCAGGAGCAAAAACACCAGUCCUUUUCUUACCAGUCAUGAAAAACAAAAUAAACCAAAACUUUAUACACUGAAAAAAAAAUCUCUAACAUGGAAGGAAGGACAUGGGCAGUAGCCAAGUAAUUGUGCUAUUGCCUUGCAGCAAGAAACAAAUGCGGAUUUGAACAGAGGAGACAGGUAACUGAAUUAAUUUGUCUCAAAAGUCAGCAACCCUCUUGCAGUCUAGAGAAUGCCGAAGUUUAACACUAGUGUCCGGAUUCCACUCAGAGACCCAAAUAUCUGCAGUCCCCCAAAGUCCUCUGACAGUCUUUUACAUAGCUACUUCCUCUCCCAAAGUGCUGCUUUCCCCUCAAGUAAAGUGGUUCAUAUCACUCCAAUAAGCUCAUUAUAACCAACUACGCUGGUACUUUCUGCAUAGCUUCUGACAUUCUUGUCUGCUGAAACUCCUCCAACCUUGGGGCUGUAUCCCACGGAUCCUGCUUUAAUCCACCCCUACAUUUUUCCUUAAUGAGGUUCAUAUACCCCUGUGCACCAUACACAAACACACACACAGAGACAAAGUUUUAAAUAAUUAGUAGUUUUCCCUUAAGGGUAAAAAUGUGCUGUAAUAGUAUUUCUUUUUGUUAUGAAAUAAUGUAAACGAUCUUGGUGUGGUAAUAUUUCAUAAUAGGUCUGUGUUAUGCAAUUAAGGCUGUAGGAUUCAGAUGACUUACGUGCACCUGGAGAUACUGACAGAUGCUGGGGACUUGGAGCUGUUGAAAAGCACAUAUCCCUGUGCUUACAUACACACACACAUGGGUAAACACAUGCACAAAACGACAUAUGCAUCAUCUGUCUACAUCCUUUUACAAAAAAAUACUAGGUACAGUAAGGUAUGUGUAGUUUAAUUUCUGGUAAUUUCCGGUUCUCUUCAAAUGAAGAUCCCUUUGCAAAUCUUGUGGCUCUUUUUUAAGGAAGGUAGAUCUCCUACCCUCUCUUCUGUAAACCUUGU